Carassius auratus (goldfish) is the source of this 348-nucleotide long non-coding RNA. RefSeq lists it as uncharacterized. NCBI's taxonomy places the organism in Eukaryota, Metazoa, Chordata, Actinopteri, Cypriniformes, Cyprinidae. The transcript has 3 exons. The record is from RefSeq and is a predicted model, not a curated record.
CAGAGCUAGAGGGAACUGCUGUGGAUGGAGCUGUAUUAGCGUGACUCACAAUUCUCUUCUUUCCACUGCUCUGUGUGCAGGGAAAUAAAGUAAAAUAUCAUCCACAAUCUCAGUGUGUGUGAGUGCUGUGGAAGAAUGGGGCAAACCGGGCCAGAUUAACCAAAGGUCACAUAUACAACUCAAAAUGUAAUAUGAACAAUACGAAUAUGAACAUAUUCACUGGUAAAGGUGAAGGGGAGUAGCUUGAAGAUGUCAUGUUUCAAAAUAACUUGACAUCACCCAACAUUCCUCCGGAGGCAAAACGUCCUCUUAGGCUUCGGCUAUGGCUCUAGGGUUUUUGUGAAGGUA